GCUUUGCGACUUAACAUGAAUAAAAAUGGCGAAUGACUAGGCAGUACAAGUGCGAUAAAUUAGUCCGGCUAGACAGCCAACUGACAAAUUUGACUGCCUACGACAACAACAUUGAGUUCAAUACAAGUGAUAUAAAGGUGACCGUAACUUAAUUACUCUAGAUUAACUGCUGGAGUUGCAGCAAAAUGCAAUACAGAGUCGCGCCAGAAUCCAUACUGACUGCUGGAGGUGCCCCUCGCGGACGGGAGAGACUAGUAUAAAAGGAGCACCUAGUGUGCAAGAAUAGAGAACACAUCUCACCCACCCACGCCGCUCACUCUCUCACUCCUCUCCACACGGCAACAACAGAUAAAUCCCCUAGGUUCGCCGGUGAGCGCGGCCGGCGAGAAUCCAACCGGGGCGCGAACCGGCGAUUGUGAGCACCACAUCGAGGCCGGCUCUGCCACUCGAUCCGCAUCCUCGUCCAUGAAGAACUGGUAACCUGAAUCAAAAGGAACCCAACUUCAGAAACUAGCUGCAGCGUAGACAUCAAGCAAGGGUACCACAUCGCAGCGUAGACAUAGUCGCCUGGCUACCGGAUCCAUUCUGGGCUCUGUUUGGGGUGAAGGCGAUGCUUAAUGACAGUCGUGGUGUCCUAGGCAAAGACGAUGCUUAAUGGCCAGCGUAGACAUAGUCGCCUGGCUCUUCUAAGACACCACGACUGUCAUUAAGCAUCAUCUUCACUUCAAACAGAGCCGAGGUUGAGCAGCAGGACAUCCUCCACGCAUGUAAGCUCCCAAUACUUCAUAGAGACAUAAGAUUUUUUGUGGAUGGAUGCAGGGGGAGACAGAUUUUCAUCGCCUGUUUUUGACUUUUUUUACGGUUGUUCUUGGUCUCUAUGGCUCCACUAGGUUUGGAGAAGGAAGAAAGGCAGCAUUAGUAGUGUGUGAGACAUGGUGGUGGGGCUUUGACCUUUCUUUCUUUUUUGAUCCGGGUUUUGACCUCUCCCAUGUUGCGUUUUUAUAUACCAUUCUAGUUUCUUCUUUUAAUUUCCCAAAAAAUAACUUUUUUUUUUUUAGAAAAGGAGGAUGACCCCCGGCCUCUGCAUCUGGGAGAUGCAUACGGCCAUUUUAUUGAUUAUUCUCGAGGACCUUACAAAGUAGUACAACAAUAUGCCUGAAUCCGCCAUCUUGGCAACAUCUGCCACUACUCCUAUCCAUAUGAUGAAGGGGGUGCAAGCUGGACCAAAUACCCAGACCUCUCACCUAAGCCUAACAUCUAAAGCCGGAGGCCCCGACCGAGCCACAUACCGGGUUCGGGGCACAAUCCGGUCUGACGCACUCACAUGUGUCGUCGCCGCCAUCUUCCACUAGUCCAUCUUCAGAGCAGAUUGAGGUGCCAACCUUGGUAGGAUCCUCCGCCAUCGACGCCAUCAAGGCACCAAACGACGACCACCAUCUACGCUAGUCCAUCUCCAAGCAGAAGGAGCACUACCACAGGACGAAGACCGGCGGAGAAUAGGUGAAACGCUGCACACAAUGCCGCCGCCAAACACCUCACACGCACCGCAAAGCACCCACCAUGCUUCCGAGGACCCCAAAAAAUAACUAGUUGGCACGUAGUCGCUACAUUAUAAUAUAAAUUUAAGCCAUCGACCAUCUGCUCUGAUUUACGGAGUACUUGCUUUCCGGUUAUAGUAUUUAUCAUACUCCCUCCAUUCUAAAAAUACAGUGCAUAUUUUGUUUUCUAAAAGCCAAGAAAAAAUUAUCAACAUCGACAAUACAAAUUAGUAUCAUUAAAUUCAUUAUGAAGUGUACUUUAUAUUUUAUUUAUUCAGUACUUUAGAUAUUAAUAUGCUAAAAACUUGGUCAAACAUAGAAACAUUUGACUUUGAAAAAACAAAAUAUGCACUACAUUGUUGAAGGGGGGAGUACUGUUCUCAGUUGAUGUCAUCAUCUGCUGUGUUUCGUAUGCCCUUUAUUUUGAUCCACAAUAAUGCAGGUAUUUAGCAGACUGGCACUGACACAUUCCUCUGUUCUGUGAAGCAAACAGAGUUAAGAUUAUAAUCAGCAACGAUCCUUUGUUCUUCUAUCCAGAAAAAGCUGAUAUCAGCUUUCGGAAACCAUGAAGCUAGCUUAUGAAUUAAUCUUCCUGGGGUUCUUACAGUCUGUUGCAUAUCAGAUGUUUGAUCAAGAGGUCCAGGCUCUGUUUGAGGUGAAGAUGCUGCUUAAUGACAGUCGUGGUGUCCUAGAAGACUGGAAUCGCCAUCUAGAUACUGCAUGUAGUACUAUUGCUAUUGUCAUGUGUGAUCCUGACGGCAACGUGGUCGAAAUGUAAGUGAAGCCUAACCUAAUCAUCUCUUGUGUAACUGCACUAAACCAGUCCCUGCCAAAGGCAGUUACAGUAUGUUUACAUUCUAUCCUUUGAACAGAGGAAAUAAUCUCGCACAUUUUGAGUAAAGUAUACCCUUUGUGUCUGAUACCAACUUUUCCUUGAUACACAGAGGAUCUCAACAUCCUCCCUUGUAGUGUCAGUUAAUUUAGUUGCUCGGCGAGGUGACAACAUCAAUACCUGAUUGACAGACGUAGUAUAUGUUUUGGCCAAACGAAGUUGUUCGUUUCAACUGGUCUGAGCUUUUCUACUUUUAUGUUCAUGUUCAAAUUUCAAUCAUACUUUGCCUAGUUUGUCCACAAAAUCCAGUGAGCCUUGUAAGCCUAGUUUGUGUUUUAUAGUUUUUUGUCUUUUUGUUGAUAGAGUUUGUGCCUGUAUUUUUUUUCUCGGAAAGGGCUCGUGCUUGUUUUGUUUUUUAAUAACAAAAUUAAAAAGGUUGUCCCUGUUAGUCAUACUCAUAUCCAAUAAUCAUGCGUGAUGAAUUCUAGGUUGAUGUGAAGCGUGUAAUUUGCACUGAUUUAUUAGUUAAUUAACUUUCAAAAAUCCAACUGAAAAAUAUUUUUUAAAAAUCUCUGGUGCAUUUGUCAUCCUCUGGUCCCUAAGGCCCAACGCUCCUCAGACAUGCAUUUUCAUCUUCCAGUCAACGAAUCCUGCUCUUUCUCUUGGAUUCUCAACUCACUUUUUCUACCACCACGGUCUAAGAAGCUGGAAUCAUUGAGGGUACUCCUAAUGCUUGGCUCUCACAGUAGCAUGGUAUCAUUGGCAAAAUGCCAAGGUGGCAUUGUAUUUAAAGAAAAGAGAGAGAGGGGAGUUGUAUGAUAGUGGAGAUAUGGCUCUUGGCUGGUUUUCCUAUGCAGUGUAAUAUACUUUUGUGUGACAUAUCUCCGUAUUUUUCA
Triticum aestivum (bread wheat) is the source of this 3266-nucleotide long non-coding RNA. RefSeq lists it as uncharacterized. The transcript has 2 exons. The record is from RefSeq and is a predicted model, not a curated record. NCBI's taxonomy places the organism in Eukaryota, Viridiplantae, Streptophyta, Magnoliopsida, Poales, Poaceae.